UAGGUCCCCGUAAUUCGAGUGAGAUUGUCAUGGCGCAAAAGCAGAUAUGGUCUGGUAUUCCCUUGUUUCCUGUAUUGGUUAUGUUCCUCAUUUCUUGUCUAGCAGAAACUAAUCGAGCUCCGUUUGAUCUCCCAGAAGCGGAAGCUGAAUUAGUUGCAGGCUAUAAUGUAGAAUAUGUAUAGAAUGAAAUCCUUAAUAGUCAACUGUUGGUGGAAACUAAUGUCUCGAGUUCUUAAAGACUCAUUCUGACUGAAACAAGGGGUGGGUCUUUACCAACUUCAAAAUAUUCGAUUUUAGAAAAGCCAAAAAAGGAGAGCGCCUAGCGCGAUCCUUAUUGAAAAGGCCCCAACCUAUGGAUGCCCAUGCAAUCAAACAAUCGGAAAGCCUUUUGACAACCAGAAAGGGCAAAAAUGCGCUCAAACAACCUAUCUUACUAAUAAUAAUUAAUAAUGAAAGCCCGUAAAGCUACAACUUGAAAGUCGACCUUACCUUUAGCAACAAGGGCGUUUAGGCUUUACUAAUAGAAUAGUUAGGGCUUUUCUUGCUUGUUUAGUCAAAUCAAGCUUUUCAUUUUGAUAGGAGUAGGUGCUUGCUGGGGCAGGGCACUCUUCAUUCUUCAUUCGAAACUAAUGAAUGUAUGUUCAAUGGUUUUUGACUUGUUAUAAAAAAAAGAGAUGUGUAAAGUAAACUCUCUCUUAGAUGAAGAUGAAACUUAGUGAAGUUGAAAUCGAUUGCGCUAUUUGAUGCUCCGAUCGAAAACAAAUCAGUGGGGCCAUGCCGGUACGACUGAAUAUGCGUUAGAAAGGUCAAUCCCUCCCCUACGACACCAAAAAAAAUUAAGCUGAACUUCUGAUAGCUCAUCUGUUUCCAUAGAACAAUAUCGCGGCAACGUAGACCUAAGUAGUCAUAUUGGAUCCUUGGGAACCAUCACAAGUACGAUUGACCUAUUUUUGAAUGAGAAUGUCAUGUCAUCCAAUGGAGCAUAGAAAAAGGUAACUCAUAUAAAUAGCUGACUCCUUUUCAAUAGAAAGGAAUAAUGCAACCAACCUAGUUGGCUAAUCAAUCUAAGAGAUUUUAUCUAUUAACAAACCAAAAACGAAUGACCAUAAUCCCAACCUUACCAACACCAGAGCAUACUAAUCAAUGAACCCCCGAAACCCACUUUCUUUUCUGACAAAAUCAACCGCGGUCACGACAUGUUGUUGAUAUUGAUUGAGUUUGAGGUGACCGAAUCCAUCCAUAAACCUAGACCCCGGUACCCUUCGUAACCAAAGCGUCACGACACCAUCCAAAGGUGACCUUUGGAUUCUUUUUUAGGGGCAAAAGGAGGAGCACGUAGGAAUGCCGACCACUCCAUAAGCCACUAGUGGUUAAGGAAAAACUAGUAGUACUUCGUAACAAGAAGAUCAAAGAACAUUAAGGGACUAUGCUAUCCCAUAAAUAAAUGGCUUUUAACUUAGCAUUAGAAGGUCAACUAUUUAGGCUUGUAACUUUGAAAUAAAGCUAUAUAUCAUUCAAAUGAUACAAAUUUUUAUUCAAUUUGGGAGGGGUUGCCUAAUGAUGACCCCAAUGUUCACUUGUCUAAUUUUCUUGAUGCUUUUAAGCAUGAUGGUGUUAAUGAUGACCCCAAUGUUCACUUGUCUAAUUUUUUUGAUGCUUUUAAGCAUUAUGGUGUUAUUGAUGAUGCCAUUAUUAGAUUAAGACUUUUUUUUUUCCUUUUAAGGAUAAUGCAAAGAACUGGUUGACUUCUCUUUUAUUGGGCUUUAUAGGAUGACUUUGUUCAAAUGUUUCUUGUUAGAUUCCUCUCUCUGGCUAAAACUACUAAGAUGAGAAAUGGCAUCAUGGUUUUCCCAAAUAGUUAUAAGUUUAAGUUUUCUACAAUGGGCUAGUAAGGCAAGCAAGAAUCGCCAUAGAUGUUGGUAACUAGGGGAGCCUUAAUUAGUAAGUUCAUUAGGGAGGCCUAUGAUUUGAUAGAGGGUAUGGCUGUUAAUAACUACCAAUGAUCCAAUGAAAAGUUGUUUAAAAAAAAUUCAAUUGGGAUAUAUGAACUUGAUGCAUUAAUCACUGAACCUCCCAAGUUGUUACCUUAAUUAAGAAUUUGAUUAUUUAGGAACCAAUUCUAUGCCUAACCCUAUCAAAUGAAUUCAAAGCUCUUUUUGUUAUGUGUGAUAUUUUUAAAGGGAACCAUUCUCAAGAUAGGUGUCCCAUUAAAGUCAAAUGUGCUUAAUAUGUUGCUCAACCUAAGAAAUAAUUCAACCUUUAGUCUAGCUCAUAUAACCAAAGAUGCAGAAACCACUCGAAAUUUUCUUAGUGAAACAACCAUUGGCAGCCAUCAAACUUUAACUCCAAACCUAUGAAACUUCCUAGUUUCAAUCAACUAAACCAAUGCCAUCCACUUCCUCACUUUAAGAAAAAACCUUCCUUUGAGGAGUUGUUCACCCAAAUCCACUAAAACGAAGUCACCACCAUACAAAACCAAGUAGCUUUCAUAAAAACCCUUAAAGUACAAAUGGUUCAAUUACCUAGUGCCUUUACAAAUUGACUCCAAAGAACCUUACCUAGCACUAUUGAGUCAAAUCCAAUGAAGGAAAGUAAGGAGCAAUACAAUUCCAUCCUCACCCCAAAGGAUGAUGAAAUUGAUGAUGAGUCUAAUAUGAAGGAAUCGGUUAUGGUAUAAAUGUCUAAUUUUGUCAAGCUUGUUGAGGAAAAAAUGUUGGAGAUUGCCUAGAGAGGAUGAAUUUGAAGAAGAAGGCAUGGUUAUAGAGGAGGAAAUAAAAUAUGAUCGCAUGAAAUAGGAAUUGGCAAUUGAAGAACUUAUGAAAGAUAAGGUAGUGCAUUAUGUCAUGGUGAAAAGAAAAUCUAUGGAGGAAAAACCAUUAGUGGAAGACAAGGUAGCUCUUAAAUUGGUUAUGAAAAGAGAGCUUGUUGAAGAGAAGGCUACGAUGGGGAAGUUAAGAUUCAAGGCAAGGCAAAGGAAAAAGAAUAUCAAAUAAAGCAUAUUCCAAGAAUGUCCAAUCCAUAUAGGCCAAUAGACAUUCUUGCUAAACAAGUCAAAAAGCCUACUUUAGAUUAUUUACUUGAUGGAUUGAAGAAUGUUACACCCACUAAGGAGUUUAAAAUCAUGCUUCAAAGGAAUUUGCCAAAGCUUAUCGAUCUAAAGAGUUUCUCUAUUCCUUGAGCUUAUCGAUCUAAGGAGUUUUUCUAUUCCUUAUUCUAUUGAUAAUAUUUUCUUUGAUAAAGUUUUAUGUGACCUUGGUGCAAGUAUAAAACUAAUGCCUUUGUCUAUUUUUAGGAAAUUAGGGAUUGGAGAUUUAAAGACUCCAAGAACUUAUCUACAAUUAGUGGAUAGUUCUAUUAAGCAUCUUGUGGGAAUUGUGGAGAAUGUUCUUCUGAAAGUUGACAAGUAUGAAUUCUCAUUGAUUUUGCGGUUCUUGAUAUAGCUAAUGACGAAAAGUCCUUAUUAUCAUAGGAAAGCCAUUCUUAACAACAUUAAGAUCUUUAAUUGAUGUCCACAAAGGGGAAUUGAUUAUGAUAUUUCAUGAUAGAGAAAUUGUUUUCAAAAUAGAUGACCUUGGUGCUGUUAAAGAUGGUUUGAAAGAGAAUGCAAGUUUGCUUAUGGAGGAAGCCUGAAGGCCAAAAACAUAGCUAGCUUGUUUAAGCCUAGUUAGAAAGAAACACAAGUUGAAAGAUGCAAAAUCAGUGAAUGAAAAAGCUAGUAUGAAGAUGCCCUAAAGCCUCUUGAUUUGAUUUAAGUUAAGAGGAAGAAAGAUGGAGUUAUAUUUAUGAAGAGUUAUACACUCAUUUUUUUAGUGCAACAUCUUAUAGAGAAUGUCAUGAAAAAGAAGAUGGUAAAGUGGAUGGAUGCCUCUACAAAGAAAGGUGUGGUGAUUUAAAAAGUUAAAUGAUUGUCAAAGUUAGUCAAGCUUGACUUUAAUUAGUGUUAUUUGGGAAGCAACUCAUGUUUUAAUUAUCGAUUUAUCAUACUUAAAAUAAGUUUUUACUUUUUUUUUUAGGAUAGGUAAUGCUUUGUUUUCUGUUUGUUUUAUAGGUACAAAAACUUGAAAAAGCUAGGAUUAAAAAGCUAGUCACGAGCUAUUGGUGCAAGGUUGAUGCGUGAUCUUAGAUGUUUCAACAUGCUUAGAUUCAGUUUUGGUACAAUAGGAGAGUAUUCUUCUUCUUUAGUGCUUAAUUGUUAUAUUUCUUACACAUUAAGACAAUGUAUAACUUAAGUUAGGGAAAAUAAAUUUUUUUCAAAAUUUUUUUCAAAAUCUUUUCAAAUUUUCUAUUUUUGAGCUUAAAUUGUCAUGCAUUGAAUUAUUAUAUUGCUUCAUUUGUUUAUUUUCUUAUAAUCUAAUAAUAGAAACUUUGGUUGACUUUAAAUAUAGCUUUUAGAAAAGAAUGAAUGUAGUGUAAGCAUGAGAUGAAGUUUGAAUCUGCUUCUUUUUACUUAUGAUAUUUCCACCAACUUUUGGGUGUAGACACCCAAUUUGGUCCAGGCCGGAUCAAUUAGGCUUGGUCCAAAUGGGUAGGCUCAUUUUGUGUUUUUAUUUUGCAUUUUAUAUUUUUAUAUUUUUAUAUUUUAUAUAUAUAUUUUUUUCUUUUUUGUAUAUUAUGUAUUUAUUAUUACUAUUUAUUAAUAUAUAUUCAUUUAUUUUUUUAUGUUAAUAUAUAUUUAUUAUUACUUAGCUAUUUAUAUAUUAUUAUAUAUAUGUAUUUAUUAUUAUUUAUCUAUUUAUAUAUUAUAAUUUAUCUAUUAUUUAUUUUUAUUUAUUUGUUAAUAUUUUGAUUUAUCUGAUUAUUUUCUUUUAAUUAUCUAUUAAUAUUUUUAUUUGAUUCUUAUUUUCUUUUUUUUUUCGAUUGAGAUUGGAAUUUUUUUGGGGAAUCCUACCGUGAAUGGGGAUUCAAUCAGAGUCUAUAUUAGAUUCAAUGAUUGAAUCCCAAUCCAAGGAGGAGUUAGGAUUGAUCAGAAACUCUUCUGAUCAAUUCAUAUAAAUAGAUCCACGAAUCAAAGGAUCAAUAGAUAGAAAAAAGGCAAAUACUGGCUGAGAGAGAACACACAGAAAAGAAAGAGAAGCUAAAAAAAAGGGUUUUGGUGCGUUAGAACAGUUUUAGGAAUCGGUGGGAAUUUUUUAGAAUUUUUGGUGAUUUUUUUUUCUGGAAAUUUUUGAAAAAUUUUCAGAGUCCAGUUGAAUUUUUCGGUGACAUUUUCGGCCAAGUUUGAAUUUUUUGGCCAACUUCCUAGUUUUCGACAAUUAUUUCCAGAAACCGAUCAGUUUUUUGACGAACUUCCGACGAAAAACCCAGAUUUCGAUGAAAAUUUUCAGAAUCUGGUGAGAUUAAAUCGGAGUUCUUUUUAGUUUAGAGAGAGGGGAGGGAAAAAGAAGGGAAGAGAGAGAGGGGGGAUCAGCCUGCUGAAAAACAGAAGGGAUAACCUUUUAUACCUACUAAAAAUGACAUCGUUUUGGCGUUAUUGUGCCCAGAGGAUCCGUGCGUUUUGAAGUCGGGUGACCCCACCCGAGCGCCAACCCAUUUUUGACCCGCGUGCGACCUGUGUCUCCGAGCCAUUUCCCGAGCUGAGCCGAUGUCCCGAGCCAUUUUUUUUCCUUAAGCCAAGCCAAGCCGAGCUGUUCCUAGGUUUUUCUUUUUUUCGUUUUUAUUUAUUUAUUAUUAUUAUUAUAUUAGAAUUGUUUAAUAUUUUUUUUUUUAUUUUUUUUUAUUUUAAUUUAAUUUAAUUAUUUUAUUUUCUUUAAAUAAAAUUCAAAAAAUAUUUUUGACAAAAAGUUGAAAGUAUCAAUUUUCUUGAAAAUAAGCUUUCUAAAAAAUAUUUUUGAGGAAAAGUUGAAAGUAUCAAUUGUCUUUGAAAAUAAGCUUUCUAAAAAAAAUAUUUUUUGAAAAAAGUUGAAAGUAUCGAUUUUCCUUAAAAAUAAGUUUUCAAAAAUGAAUUUUUGAGGAAAAGUUGAAAGUAUCAAUUUUCCUUGCACAAAAGCAAUCAUUUUUUCUUUUCUUUUUAUUUUCUUGAAUUUUUUUAAUGUUAAAUAAUCCGACGAUGGAGCCUCUGUAAGUGAAAUAAUAGUUUUCUUGCAUACUAUUGAGGUGAGGGGAUUUUCUUAAUUUUCUGCUAAAAGUAUUAAAGUCAACUGAGAAUAAUUUCUAAUAACUAAUUACUUGGUAAAUUUUUAAGGCUUAUUGGAUAACACAAAAUUAAGCUGGUACCAUAUUUCGAUGGGCGUUGUGAGGGUGCUAUAACCUUCCUCACACAUAACUGAACUCCCGAACCUUAUUCUGGUUAGUAAACCCAAACCUAUUCUUUUAGGGACCCUUAAACUUAGGUGUUCCCCCGAAAGGAUAGAUUCCUUAGGUGACCAAUCGCACCUAGAUAAAAAAAAUUGAUGGUGACUCCUUAAGUCAAUGUCUAGCGAUAGAUCCUCGGAUCUAGACGUUAUGACAUUAGGCACAAGUCUUGAUCAUUGAUUUGCAUGUAUAUUUAGUGGAAGCUUAUGUAGAGCUAGAAUUGCAUUGAAUUUUAAAGUUGUGAUCUUAUUUUAGAAUUUGCUUGAACAUUUAUUGAGGCAAAAUCCUAGAUACAUUUAACUUGGGAGAUAAUUUAGGCUAUCUUUGAAUCGUUUAAGCCUUUCACGCUAACCUUGAUGUAUAUUUAGCCUUAGUCACUCCAUUUGAGCUUUAUAAAUAAUCCUUCCUUUGUUUUUUGCCUUCACGAUUUAGCCAUUCUUUAAGUUUAUUUUAUCUUUUGGCUCUACCCUAUAUGCAUAUGGAUAAUUCAAAAUCCAAAUUAGAGAGCUAUGUUUCAUUAUGGAUGAAUGGUGGAGCUAAGAGAAAGAAAAGCAAAAAAUUUAUAUGUUUGAAAUAGAAAAAGAAAAAAAGUUGAAAAAAACUUAUAUGUUCAAAACAAAAAAUCAAAAUGCGUUAAAACGUCCAAAAAUAGCAAAGGUAUUAUGCACACAUAUUGAAAUUACCAUUUGAAAGCUUGAAAGAAAAAAAAAAAAAAGAAAAAAGGAAUCAAGUUUGAGGGUUUACAUGUCCUUUUAAAAGCUCUCAAAUCAAAGAAAAAAGAUCUUGAGUAAUACAUGUUUAGGGAUUGUAGAUACUUAUUUUGCCUGAUCUCAUUUAACCUAAAUAAAAUUAUUAUUAUUAUUGUUAUUACAUUUUUUCCUUUUUCCUUCCUUCCCUAUUUUUCUUUCUUGCUUCACCAAAGUCAUGGUACAUUUAAUGCAUUGGAAAUCUCCAUUGAAAUUUCCAGCUUUUUGAUAGCCUUGCUGGCUGACUAUUAGCUCUUGAGAUUUUAACAAAGUUAAUAAUAAUGCCAAAAAAUCUAGGAUUUUGAUAUCCUAAUUAGGUCUAUAAAUAGAUGUAACUCCGGUAAGCAAAAAAUAGAGAGAAACGAGGAAGAAUAUUGCCAUAAAAAAACACAAAUAGAGAGCAAUUUUUUUGGGUAGCUAUGAGGUUAAAAAAAAGAAACACACAAGCACCUAAAAAAAAAAAAACCAUGGUCUUCCUAGAAGGGGAACCAUUAAUAUUAAAAAAAUUUUUAGAACAAAAAAAGUCAAAAGUACUUUCUUUGCUAUAAGGGUUUGGGAAUUUUUUUUUAAAGAAAAUAAUUUGGAAAAAAUGUUUAGGUGCCAAAAAGGGAUAACUUGGAAUUUUUGAGAAUUUUUGAAAUUUUUUUGGGUCGUCAGAUUUUACAAAACAUUUAAAUUUUUUGGCAAUCGAUGAAUUUUCCAAUGGCUAUUUGAAUUUUUUGACCAUCAGAAUUUAGGAAACGGGAAGGAAUCUAGAAUUUAUUUGAACUUUCCAAUGCCUGUUAAAUUUUUUGGCCAUGGCACAAUGGUGAUCGACCAGAAUCUAGGAAAUAAUGGCUGUUGUCGAAGGGGUUUAGUUUUAUAGAAGAGAGGCUCUGGAUUUUGUAGAAAGAGAUGAAAGACAAGAAAAAUAAAAAUAAAAAAAAUAAAAAGGGCAUUUUAUAAGCUAGUCAAAACGGUGUCAUUUUAAAGCUAGGACUCAUUGAACGACCUCUUGACCUGCGCGCUGACAUGCGUGCUGAUCCAACCCGUUUAGUAAGAUUUCUUUUUUCCAUUUUAUUUUCAUUAUUUUCUUUCAUUUUUAUUUUAUUUUUUUGUUAGAUUUUUUUAAAAUAUAUUUUUUAUUUAAAAAAAUGAUAAUAAUAAUAAUAAUAAUAAUAAAUAAUCAUCACAAGUGAUAAUUUUAAUAUAAAAGUAAGAGUAAAUAAUAACUCUUAAUUUAAAAUAAAUCUUUAAAAAAUAAUAUUUAUUAAGGAAAAUGGAAAGAACUAUAUUUCCCUUUGCUUUUUACAAAUGAAAACAUAUAAAAAAAAGUAUUUUUUGAAUUUCACUAAAGUGUCAAGAGGAUUCAAGAAAUUACUUUUAUUAUAAAAAAAUAUAACAUAAUAAUAAUUAUUACUUACUUGAAUAAAUUUUUAAAAAAAUGCAACCUUUAAAGAAAAUUGAGAGAGUUCAAUUUUUUUAACAUAAGUAAAAAAUAUAUUUUUAAAUUUCACCGAUUAGUCAAGAUAAUUUAAAAAUUAUUUUAAAAUAAAAAUUUAUUUUAAUAAAAAAAUGAAUAAUUAAAAUAAAUAAAAAUAAAAGGGUUUGUUAAAUUGUUUUUUGGAUUACACCGCAGAAUUGAGUAAUCCAAAAAUUUAUUUUUACUCAAUAAAUAUUUAUUUAAAUAAAAAUAAAUAAUAAAUAAUAAAAAUAUUUUUUAAAUGAAUCUUUUGAUUAUUACCAAAAAAAGUUAUUUUUGCUAAAUAAAUAUUUAUUUAAAUAAAAAAAUGACAAUAAUAAAUAGUAAACAAUAACAAAAAAAAAACAAUUACAAUAAAAAUUAAUUAAAUCUUUUGAAAAAGAAUUUUAAGAAAAAUUGAAAGAAUCUCAUUUUUCUUAGUUAUCAUCAAUAAAAAAUAAUUUUUAGGACCUUAUUAGAAAGUUGAAAUAAUCCUAAAAUCUAUUUGAAAAUUUUUAAUUAUUUCACCCAAAAGUUAGGAUAAUUGUAAAAUCAAUUUUAAUAAAUAAAUAAAAUAUCUUAUGACGAAAUUUCAAAAAUUUUGUUAAUGGUCAAUAUUUUCAAAUUUUUUUCUAAAUAAAGAUUUUCUAUAAAUUUCGCCAAAGCGUUAGAAAAUUUAUAGAAUAUGAAAAUAAUAAUAAUACUAAUUUCAUAACAAAAAAUGUUUUUUUUUCACAAAUAAAUUAUAAGAAAUUAAUUUUAAAUAUAAAAAAGACUAUAUCAUCAAAAUUAAAGAAUAACACAUAUUAAUUUGUACCGUUCUUCAAAUAGGUGGCGUAAGGGUGCUAAUACCUUCCUUGCUUGUAAUCAUACUUUCGAACCUAACCCUAAUUACAUAGACUUAAGCAUGUUUUAGUAAAUCUUAAUUAAUUUUAAGAUUUUUAUUAAAAGAUGAAGUUUUUGGGUGUCUAAUCACAGUCUACUAAAAGGAUUGGUGGCGACUCCAUAAAUUUUCAUCAAGUUUAGCGAUUGAAUCCUUUCGGAUGAAAAAUCAUUAUGACAGCUUGACGACUCCACUGAGGACACUAGAGAGUUAAGCCAAAAAUUAAACAUGUCUCAACCAAAGUUUGAUUUUAUGGUCUUUUUAAUACUUAAUUUUAAUUCUUUAUCUCAUCUAGAAUGCAAAUAAGAUUAAAAAAAAAGAGAAGGCAAAUUUUGAUGGUUUCAUUUAGUUUUGUUAUAUUAUUUUUCUUAUUUUAUAUUGUUGUUAAUUAGAUUAUUGAUUUUAUUAAUAAUCGUUAAAUUUCUUCACACAUGUACACACUUGCAUUCAUGAGCUUUAUACUCGAGCUCUCAAAUCCAUUCCUUUUUAGGAGAAAGUAGAGUACCUAUGCUUUCGUGAAGUAUAAUGCCUCCACUUAGGCUAAUGAAAUACUUCAACUCAAGCUAAACCCUUUCUGUUAGUAGCUCAUUGUGGGUGAGGAUCAGGGGCUUCACUCGUCCAAAGUGGACGAUAGUAAGGAUAAAUUUAGGAACAUUUUUAGCCUUUGUUAAAUACCAAACCCUGCAUAUAGUGAACUUUAAAAAGCCAACUUAAGAUUGAUUUAUUUUUGUAGAUUAUAUUCUAAAUUAAGACACAUAAGGGAAUAUUUAUUUUAAUACAAUUACUAACCCUAAUUUGUUUUGCUUUUUUUUUUUCGUUUCAUAUUAAUGCAUCAUCAUAAACACCUGCAUAUGGGAUGUGCUUGUCAAUGUACCAAUAUCAGUCAGAAGAUUUUUGGUCUUGCUUUGGGUACACCAUUAUAAUGUUCUCAGCUACAAACCCACCAUGUAUGAAGAGGCUAAUGUGGUGAUAACUCUAUCAUUAGAAACCCAAAGUAGAAUGGGAAACUAUAUGAAAGAAUAUGAAGAGGAAACUUUGCGUGAAGAAAUGAAACUAGGGUUUUAACAAAACAUCUCUAAAUUGGUCGAGAUCUAGCUUUUCAGGAAAAAUAUGGUCAUAUUGCUUCACUCCUUGAGGUGCUGACAAAAAAUCAACUGAUAUGGGCUUUAGUUCAAUCUUAGGACCCUACUUAUAGAUGUUUCAUGUUCAACAAGAUAGAUAUGACCUCGACAAUUGAAGAAUAUACUACAUUGCUAUGGUUGCAUCUUUCCAAUCCAAAUAAAAUCUAUUGAUGAGGCCAAAAAUUUAGAUCUUGAAAGAAACUUGCCUGUAUAGAGGUCUCCACUCAGAAUGUGAAUUCAUAUAUCUAAACAAAAGGCAAAAGUGAUUGCAUCUCAUAGAAAAUCUUGCAUGAUUACAUCAUCAAACACUUAAAGGAUGAAUGAGGCAUAAGAAUAAUAGCUUUGGCAAUUUAUGGCUUGAUCAUUUUCCCAAAAGUCCUAGGGCACAUUGAGUUAUCAAUAAUUGACUUCUUCGAGCAACGGGACAAUAAAAUCAAUCAUGUUCCUUUUACAUUAACAGAAAUGUUUAGAUCAUUGAAUCACUAUCGAAAAAGAUGAAGAUGCAUCAUAGGGUGUGUACAAUUACUCUAUAUUUAGGCAAAAAUUCAUUUUCAGCAUCCUAUGGGUAAAUUUUGUCCAACUUAUAGUAAAAAAGUAGGCCAAUUGAAUAAUUCUACAAUGUUGAGUGGCUAGAAUCAAAGUCCAAGGAAGAGUGGGUAUCGAUUUUGCAAAAUCUCAUCAAUGCUUAAGUUAUAUAAAGAGUUCCAUGGAUGCUAGGAGAAGCCAUGUUGUACAAUUGUGGUGACAAGCCAUGGGUUCCACUCUUAGGGCCGUAGGGAGGUAUAAGCUAUGCUCCAGCAAUAGUUCAUCAAUAAUUAGGGUCAAAGCAAUUCGUUUCGAUGACUUAUGGGCUUUAGGAAUUAGAAUUUUUUUUUUAGGAACGAGGGUUUCUAGGAAGGUGAAAGAGAUUAGCAAAGAAUGAAAGCAGACGCGAAGAGUAUAUCGUUGGGGGUAUACAGACAAAGCCACACCUAAAUAUCUGAUAUGGAAGAGGUAACACAUCAAAAGCAAAGUUGGUCCUAAAAAGGAUAUACCAUGCCACCAAAAAGAUGCCUAUCAAGAAUAGGUUCUUCAAGACAUGAAGAUUAUGAAGUGCAAAUUUUAAAAAAAAAAAGAAAUAUGGGAGCUUAAAAAGAAAAUGCUUCAGCAUGAGAUUAAUGAGUGGAAAGAUAAGAUUGAAGAGAGUGAAAGGAAAUUUUGAAGGUUUGAAAGAGAAUAAGAAGAGAUUUUUGAAAGCUUGCUUAAGUCCAUCAUUUCAAUGACCACUGAGCUUAAAGAAUUCGAAAAGAAUGCAAAAAAGCUCAGCCAAUCUAUAGAAGAAAAGAAGAUACUGUAAGGUCUUAUGGAUAAUUUGAAAUAACAAAUACAUUAUCAUUGUAAGUCAUUCAAGUUUUAAGAAAAAAAUAAGAUCAAUUAGAACUUAGAGCCAAAGAAGCACAAUAUUGGAAACAAGAAUGUCUGCUGAAGGAAUCUCAAGCCACUCACUUGAUAGAACAGAUAAGAAAAGUCAACUUCAAAGUAAGAGACAUGGCCUAAGAACCUAAACAAGUAAAGGAAGAAGUCUAGUCAAGAUAGCAUAGCCAACGUUUGACCAAUUUUCUAGAUAAUGCUUAUGAAUAGUACAAGCAUGUAAGAUAUUUUUUUUGAAAAUUUUAAUAUUGUGAUUUGAAUGUAAAAAGUCUUCAGUAAGAUAGUAUGGCAAACUCAAAGUUGUAAUAUUGCAAUUUGAAUAAUGUGAUGUUGUGAUGUGGUGGUUCAAGUUUAGACUUAAAAUCUUUUGCAAAUAUUGGAUAUAUAACAAGCAUAUCCUUUGCAUUCAUGCAUUCAUGCAUCAUACGUAUGUUUCAUUCAAUGUUAAAUUAAAAAAAAAUUACAACUAAAAUAAAAGGGCCUCAAAAUAACAAAUCUCAAAAAGUUUCCCUUAACUCGAUCAGGUGCAAAGGAUAGUUAGGCCAUUAGAAAACAUAGAUUAAACCACUCAUUAUCGUUAUAACACUCACUCAUAAUUUAGAAUCAUGGAAAAUGAGUAAGCAUCUAUAAUGGAAAGGAUAGAAAAAACUCAAUUUAAGAUGCAAGAAUAGAUGAUUAAGUCUUAACAAGAGUUGAUACAACAAAUGACUAGGUCCUAAGAAGAGACUAAAAAAGAAAUGGCUACAAUUAUGGACAUGAUGAGGAAAAUGACCAAAGGAAAAUGGGGUAGUUGAAGAAAUGACUAUCGAAAAGGAGCCCCAAGCCCAAGAAAAAACUAGUGAUAAGGAAGAUCCAUUGUAUCCAUUAGGGUUCACUCUACCCUACGUUUAAACAUCUCAUUUAGUGCAUCCACAAAUGACACAGCCUGAAAGGCAACUAUAUGCUUCAUUUAAUUUACCUUAUUUCACGAUUCAACUACGGAGUCAAAGACAUAUUGGUCUAAACAUUGGGGCAAGUCAUGAUCCCAUUAUGGUCUCAGAUUUAGAUGAUCCAAGAGAACAUGAAAAACUAAAAAAAGACACGUUUGAACAAUCUGGGAACAUAAAGGUGCAGUAAAAAUUUGAUCUCUUGGAAGAAAGGCUAUGAGUAGUUGAAUGUGUGAAUAUUUUUAGCAAAAUUGAUGCAAGUGAACUCAAUUUGGUUCUAGAUAUGGUAAUCCCACCAAAGCUUAAGGUACCAAAAUUUGAAAAAUAUGAUAGAACCAAAUGCCCUAUGGUGCAUAUCACCAUGUUUUAUUGAAAAAUAACUUGGCAUGUAGACAACGACAAGUUUCUUAUUUAUUAUUUUCAAGAUAGUUUUACUAGAUUAGCUACCAGAUAGUAUAUUCAAUUAGAUAGGAUUAGGAUUGAUUCAUGAAAAAAUCUGGCCAAAGCAUUUAUUACUCAAUACAAGCAUGUCAUAGAUAUGGCUCCAAAUAGACUAUCCUUACAAAACAUGAAAAAAAAGGCCAGCAAAAACUUUAAAGAGUAUGUCCAAAGAUGGCACGAUGUUGCCGCCCAAGUUCAACCUCAUUUCACUUAAAAAAAUAACUAUUUUGUUCAUCAAUACCUUUUGAGGCUCAUAUUAUGAUAGACUCAUUAGUCAUGCCAUGAAAAAUUUUACUGAUAUGAUGAUUACGGGUGAGAUAAUAAAAAAUGCCAUUAAGAUUGAAAAAAUCAAAGGAAGUGAUGUUUUUGGAUCAAAGAAAGAAGGACUACCCAAGAAUAAAGAAGCAGAAGUGCAAGCUGUCAUCACUAAAAAAUCAAAACAAAGACCUUCUACUCCAUACCACUCAUAUCUCGUAUACCAACCUUCCUACCCAACCAUUUCCUACAUUUCUCAAAACUCAUACCAUUACUAACUGGUGUAAACCCAAAUACCUACCUUCCAAACCAAUUUUCAUCUUCAAGCACUUCCACUACAGCCUUUCCUUUAGUCUAAUGCAAUAGACUUUAAUCGAAACGAACACCAAAAUAAUCAAAAGCAACAAUAAUUUGAUCCAAUUCCUAUGACUUACACGAAAUUGUUCCUUUGAUUAUUCCAAAAAACUUACUGGCUGUACUACCCAUAGAGCCUUUAAAACCUUUAUAUCUAAAGUACUAUGAUCUCGAAGCUUACUAUGAUUAUCAUUAUAAGAUUCAGGGCCAUUCUUAGGAAAAUUGUAUAGCUUUCUAACGUAAGGUGUAAAAUUGAUUGAUAACGGGAUUUUAAAUUUCACAACAAAGGCCAGACCAAGUGUGGAAGCCAAUCUGUUGCCCAAUCAUAGUGGGGGAUUAGUAAAUGCUUUAAAUAGCAAAACAACUCAAAACAUCAAAAGAGAAAUAAGAGAGAUCAAAACCUAUAUGAUUUGCCCAAUACAUGGAAGCACAAAAAAUAAAAUUUCACAUAUAACCAUAAUCAAACUUGUGAAUUCCAUAUGGGGGUGGUUGGUCAUUUAUUUCAGGAUUGUGAAGCCUUUAUAUAGGAAUUACAAAAAAUGAUGGAUUCUUUCCUAGUUGAAUUUUAUCAGAAACACAUAAAAAAUUCAGUGAAUGUUAUGACUGGAGAUUCAUCCAAGAUAAGGCCUUACUAAAUGAGUUUCAAGCCCAUUACCAUCUUUUAUGAAGAAAGGCUAAGCAUUAAGCUAGUUUGUAUGAAUUUUGAGCCUGUCACCAUCUUUUAUGAUGAGAAAUUAAGUGCUAAAAUUGAUGAACCAGUUUGUACGACUAUGCCAAAGGUGACAAUUGAAGUCUCUAGCCCAUUUUCAUACAAAAUUGAUAAGGUAGUCCUUUGGAAAUAUGAUUGUAAUAUCGUAUUAUAAGGUUUGGAUAAUUGAUCCUUUCAAUGUGGCUCAUAUAAUAUAAGCACAGUAAACAUAACUAGUGUAAGAGACAUAACUCAAAGUAAGUAGUGCUAUACCUUAAAAGCUUUUGAGAGAGCACAAAAAGAAAAAGCAAAAGAAAGGGAAAUGAGGUUAGAAAAAAAAGAUAGACCACCCAACGAUUAAAAAACUCACUCAGCCCCAGUCAUAGAUCGAGAACAUAAGAAUUCGAUCAUUAAAAAAAAGUUUGUGAGUUCUUGAAACUUAUUAAACACAGUGAGUAUAGUGUGGUGAAGCAAUUGAAUAUCUUACCAACUCAAAUUUUUAUGCACUUAUUAUUGUUAAAUUAUAAACCUCAUAGAAAUGCUUGCUCAAAGUACUCAAUGAGGCUUAUGUAACUCAUAAUAUAUUUAUGAAAAAAUUUAAUCGUAUAGUAAAAAAUAUCAUAGUAGAGAAUUUUAUAUCGUUUAACAAUGAUGAAAUUUUACUUGGUGGUAGAGGUGAUACUAAAGCCUUACAUAUCUUUACAAGGUAUAAAGAUCACACAUUGGCUAAAGUGCUCAUUGAUAAUAUAUUUACUUUGAAUAUCCAACCUAUAACUACACUAUUUAAACUACCAGUCAACAUGUCUUACAUGAAGAUGAGUUACAUAAUAGUGAGGGCUUUUGAUAGGACUCGUCAUAAAGUAAUAGGUGAUAUUAAGUUAUCAAUUCAGAUUGGCCCAUGUACUUUUGAUAUAGUCUUUCAAGUCAUGGAUAUUGCUCCCUCCUAUAGUUGUUUAUUAGGAUGACCAUAGAUUUACAUGGCAAGAGCUAUCUCCUCCACUUUAGUGAAAUUUAUAAUUAAUGAAAAAGUGGUCAUUAUUACCAAUGAAGAAGAUCUAUUAGUGGUUAAACCAUUAACUAUGUUAUAUGUCGAAACAGCUAAGGAAGCCUUAAAAUGUUCCUUUAGAUCCUUUGAAAUCGUUAAUGCAACUUAUGUGGAUGAAGGAUCCAAAGUGCCUACUUCAUGUCUAUCUAGAGCUUUUAAGAUGGCUUUUAAUGAAGUGGUAGGAAAAAGGCAGCAAGUGUGGGCUAACUUGCAAGAGAUGAAACAACCAUGGAUGAUACCUAAAAAAGAUGAUCGAUUUGGUUUAGGAUACAUACUGACUUGAAAAAGAAGAAGAGAGUUGAUAGAAGAGAAAAAAAAAAAGAGGUUGGUUUCUAUUCUUACAUAAGAGGUAAAGACUGAAGGUUUUUUUUUGUUUCUUUCUACGAGACUUUUAUCUGAACUGGCUAUAUCAUCCAAAUACAAUUGGAAACAUAGAAAAAGGGCCUACACCAUCAUUAGAGGAUAUCUUCAUUGAAUUUUUAGUACAUAUGGUAGAUGAAAAGGUGAACAAAGAUCCAAAAAGUUCAUGGGUGUAUCUUACUCCUCUUGGUGAAAAAUUGAAGAAUUGGCAUAUUGAGGAGCUACCUUUUGUUUUUAAAUUCUUCAAAGUAAUGUAUUAAACCUAAUCUAAAUACUUUUGAUAAAAACAUUAAAUGUCUAGUUUGUGUGUUUGUUUCCUUAUUUUCAUUUGAAUAAAUGACAAGCAUAGCACAUUUGUCACAUUCUUUUCGUCUCUUUCAUUUCAAUUCCUUACAUUACUAUACAUCCUUCUAUAUUUCAUCCAUUUAACUCAUUUUCAAGUACUCAAAUAAUGAAUGAGAAGAUCAUCAUGAUAAUAUUUUAGGAUUUGAUUUUGAAAAUUCUGUUUAUAUUAGUAAACAAGAUAAUGAAGAGAAUGAGGAAAACCAUGCAAUAUCCCAAAAUUAUUAAGAUUAAUGGAACUAGAAGAGAAGCAAAUCAUGCCUGAUCAAAAAGCCACUAAAGUUAUGAAUUUAAAGGAUGAAGAAACUAAAAAAGAGGUUAAAAUUGGUAUUUGAAUGCCAUCAUCAAUAAAGCAAAAGCUGAUAAAAUUGCUACAUGAAUAUGUGGAUGUAUUUGCUUGGUUGUACAAAGACAUGCUAGGGCUGGAUACUUAAAUUGUAGUACAUAAGUUACCUCUAAAGCUCGAGUGCAAACUGAUUAAACAAAAUUUGAGAAAAAUGAAGCCUAAAAUAUUGUUGAAAAUAAAAGAAAAAAUGAAAAAGUAAUUUGGUACGAGAUUUUUAAAAGUGGCCAAAUAUGCCAAAUGGAUGGCAAAUAUAGUUUCAAUACCCAAAAAAGAUGGUAAAGUGAGGAUGUGUGUUGAUUAUUGGGAUAUGAAGAGGGUAAGUCCAAAAAACAGCAUCUCAUUACCUCACAUUGAUACCUUAGUGGACAAUACCACUAGGCACUCCUUACUUUCAUUCAUGGAUGGGUUUUCAAGUUAUAAUCAAAUAAAGAUGGCAUAAGAAGAUAUGAAGAAGAUUACUUUUAUGACAUUAUGGGGAACAUUAUGCUAUAAAGUCAUGCCCUUCGAUUUAAAAAAUGCUGGGGUAACUUAUCAAAGAGCUAUAGUAACUCUAUUCUAUGACAUGAUGCAUAAAGAAAUAAAAGUGUAUAUGGAUGACAUGAUUGCUAAAUCCUAUAAAGAAGAAAAUCAUGUGGCUAAUCUCAAAAAGUUAUUUGAAAGACUAAGAAAGUUUUAGCUUAAGCUCAAUCUAGCUAAAUGCAUUUUGGCGGGACUUUAGGAAAACUACAUGAAUUUUUUGUUAGUAAAAGAAGAGUAGAGGUGGAUUCAGAUAAGAUUGUGCAAUCCAAGAGCUACUACCUCUAUGUACUUAAAAAAAGUAAGGAGAUUUUUAAGGAGGUUGAAUUACAUUGCUCGUUUCAUUUCCCAACUUACAGCCAAAUGUGACUUUAUAUUCAAGAUUCUUUGAAAACACGGGUCAAGGGAAUGUGAUGAAGAUUGUCAAAUAAUGUUUGAAAAAGUUAAAGAACAUUUAUCAAACCUACUAAUAUUAAUGUUGCCUGCCCUUGAAAAACCCCUAUCUUGUAUUUGAUGGUGCAUAAAAAAUCAAUAAGAUAUGUUUUAGGGCAACAUGAUGAAAUAGGAAGGAAAGAAUAAGCCAUUUACUACCUGAGCAAAAAGUUCACUGACUAUGAAUUUGAGUAUUUACCUUUGGAAAAGAUGUGUCAUGCACUAACUUGGAUAGCUCGUCAGCUCAGACGAUACAUGUUGUAUCAUACCACUUGGCUUAUUGCGGAGCUAGAUCUAGUCAAGUACAUUUUUGAAAAGUCUUCAUUAUAAAAAAGAAUAACAAGAUGCAAAGUGCUGGUUUUUGAAUAUGACAUUGUGUAAGUGUCUUAAAAGGUAAUAAAAAAAGUGCUAUUGCUAGAUUUCUUGCAAAACACACUCACAAAGAUUAUUUCCCUAUGACAUUCAAUUUUUCAAAUAAAAACUUAAUGUUUGUAUUGUAAAUAGAUGAAGAAAAGCCUAAUAAAAAUGCAUGGGAUGUGUAUUUUAACAGAUCAUUAAGUGCUUUAGGGCAUGGUAUAAGAGUAGUUUUGAUUUUUGUAGAAGGAGACUACUACCCAAUCAUUGCAAAACUAAGUUUCAAUUGUACUAAUAAUGUGACAAAAUAUGAAGCAUGUGUCAUAGGCCGUCAAGUUACUUUUAAAAAAAAGAUCAUACAUUGAAAAUUUAUGAAGACUCUACCUUAUUCAUAUGCUAGUUGUGAGAAGAAUGGGAAAUCAGAGAUUCAAAGUUAGUUUUAUACCAAAAGUACAUAUUAGAAUUGAUCAAAAAAUUUGAGAUUAUUUGGUUUCAUCAUUUACCCCGAGAAGAGAAUCAGAUUGCUGAUGCUUUGGCUACAUUAGCAACAAUGUUCAAGCUAAAUGAAAAUAUUGAAAUCCAACCCAUCAAGUUAAGCUUGCAAGAGAAACCAGCUUAUUGUUCAAAUGUUGAGGAAAAAGUUGAUAGGAAACCAUGAUAUUCUAACAUUAUAAUAUGUCAAGUAUCAGUAAUAUCCAAAACAUAUAUCAGAGAAUGAUAAGAGAACUUUGAAAAGAUUGGUGAUGGGUUUCUUUCUGGAUGGAAAACUUUUAUAUAAAAGAAGUCGAGACCAAGCACUAUUGAGAUUUGUGAAUGCUGUUGAAGCUAAAAAGUUACUGGAAGAAAUCCACAGAGGUGUUUAUGGAACUCAUACAAAUGGCCACAUGAUGAUUAAACAGAUCAUGAAAGCAAGAUACUAUUGGUUGACAAUGGAAAGGGAUUGCAUCGAUUAUGCUAAAAAAAUGCCACAAAUGUCAAAUUUAUGCAAACAAAAUACAAGUUCCUCAAACAUCCUUGUAUGUUAUGUCAAUACUUUGGCCUUUCUCUAUGUGAGAAAUGGAUGUAAUAAGUCCUAUUACCCCAAAAGUUUCAAAAUGGACAUUGAUUCAUUUUGGUAGUAAUUUACUACUUCACAAGUGGGUGGAGGCAGCUUCAUAUGCUAAUGUGACAAGAAUGGUGGUUUGCAAGUUUAUCAAGAAAGAGAUCAUAUGCCGAUAUGGAUUUUCAGAAAGGAUAAUUUUGAAUAAUACUCUUAAUUUGAAUAACAAAAUGAUGAAUGAGGUUUGUGUUUAAUUUAAAAUCAAAUACCUCAAAUCGGUGCCUUUUCAUCUAAAGAUGAAUAAGACAGUUGAAGCGGCCAAUAAGAACAUAAAGAGGAUUGUUGAAAAGAUGACAGAUAUGUAUAAAGAUUGGCAUGAAAAGCUACCAUUUGCAUUACAUGCUUAUCAAACUUCGAUUUGCACAUAUAUAGGAGCUACACCAUUUUCAUUAGUUUAUGGGAAUGAGACAGUGUUACCCAUUGAAGUUGAAAUUCAUUCUUUGCAUGUUCUCAUGGAAGUUGAGUUGGAAGAGAGACUAACGGCAUUGUGCCAUGGUCAAUUAUAUCAAAGAAAAAUGUUGCGAGCUCAUGAAAAGAAAAUUUACCCUCGACAAUUUUAAGAAAGAGAAUUAGUAUUGAAGAAGAUUCUUCCUAACCAAUAGGAUAGACUUCUAAUUGGGAAAGUCCAUAUAUGGUAAAAAAAGCAUUCUCUAGUGGGGUAUUGAUUUUGGCAAGAGUGGAUGGGGAUAAUUUGCCAAAUCCCAUUAACGCUAAUGCAAUAAAAAAGUACUACGCUUAAAGAAAUACUAUGCCUAAAAAAAUGAAAAGAGAUGAAAAGGUAACAUGAACCGAAGAGAUAUUUGAGUUGAAAACCUAAAAGGGUGACUUAGAUAAAAAAACAUUGAAUGGAGUGGAAGAAUUCUCAAUAUGUGCCAAAAGAUCUCAUUAGUUUUGUGCUAGCUUGGCUUGUUGUGUUAUCAAAAAGUCAAGGGGCAUCAAUCAAGGGUUUCCAAAAAAAAAAAUAGUGAUGAAUUAGUUCAUGAUGAUCUAAAUACUUGUUAUAUGAUUAUUUGUUUUCCUUGUUAUAUCUUUUUGGAUAAUGCAUGAAACACUUCUCCCUUUUAUUAAAUAAAAUACAAACUUGUUUAUCCUUUAUUUGUCCCUUUCAUUAAAAAAAGAAAUAUGAAUGUGUUAUAAUUGUCAUGAAAUUCAAAAAUGAUGAAUGAGUGAUAAUGACCAUGAAAGACACACACAUUAUUUUAAAGAAAAUUUAAAAUGAUAAGCAAAAUAGUAAGGAACAAAGGUUAGUAAGAAAAAAAGCCUAUAAGUUAUAAAAGUGGUAGACAUUGAAUAUAGAAAAUGAGGAGAGAAACUGUAUUAUCUAAACUUAAUCAUUUGUUGGAAUGCAUGGGAUUCAAAAAGAAAAGGGAAACAGACAAUGAGAAAUUUUAAGGAUUAAUAAAAUGACAUAAAAUGGAAAAGAAAGAAGAUGGUGUCUUCAUUUACAUCAUGAUCAUCAUUCAUUGCAUGAAUUGCAAAAGCAUGAAAAUAUCAUUCAUGCACACAUGUGACACAACAUAUAUAUGGGUCUAGGAUAAUCCAAGACCAACAAAAGGAAAAGUCAAAAGUAAAAAAGAUGUAAACCCUAUGUUUAGAGGAAUAUUUCAAAUACCAUGGCAUUUCAAAUUUUAAUUUAAAGUUUCAUUGCCUCUAGUCAGAGGAGCUAGUUAAAAUUUCAUUACCUCUAGUUAGAUAAGCUUUUUUCAAAGUUUCAUAGCCUUUGGUUAUAGGAGCUUUUAAUUUUAGGAGCCUCUGGUUAAAAUACUCUUUCAAAAUUAGGCAUGAUUUGUAAGACUAAAUGGAAUAAUCUAUAAGAUCUAUUAGAUUUUUUAUUUAAAGUGUCAUAGCCUUUGGUCAAAAGAGCCAUUUAAAGUUUCAUUGCCUCUGGUCAAAGGAGCCCUUUAAAAUUUCAAAAGUUGUCGAGCCUUUUGUUAGAGGAGCCUUUUAAAAUUUCAAAAGUUAUCAAGUCUCUGGUCAUAAUAGCCAUUUAAAGUUUCAUUACCUCUAGUUAGUGGAGUCUUUUAAAUUUUCAAAAGUUGCCGAGCUUCUAGUCAAAUGAGCUAUUUAAAGUUUCAUUGUCUUUGCUUAAAGGAGCCUUUUUUUUUUUUAAUUUUCAAAAAUUAUCAAGUCUUUACUUAGAGGAGCUUUUCAAAUUUUCAAUAAAAAAAUUAAUUAAAUUAUUUCCAAUUGAUAGUAAAAAAGUAAAAAAAUGCGAUGUGCUUUUGUGUUUCUUUUUUUUUUUUAAAAAAAAAAGGACAUCAUGUUCGUCCAAUAAAAUGGUUGUUUUUUUUUUAUCUUUACCUUAUUCUUAAUUCUCAGAAAUAGGUAAAGAAGGGUAGCUAUAUAUACUCAUAGCUCAGUCUCCUUUAACCUAAAUAAAAUUAUUAUUAUUAUUAUUCUUAUUAUUAUUAUUAUUAUACAUAUAUUUUUAUUUAUUUUGACAUUUUUUCCUUUUUCCUUUCUUCUCCAUUUUUCUUUCUUCCUUCACUAAAAUUAUAGUGCAUUUAAUGCACUGGAAAUCUCCAUUGAAAUUUCUAGCCUCUCCGAUAACCUUCGUACUUAACUUUGAUCUUCUAAUCCUAAAAAGUCCACAAAAAAUAGAAAGUCCACAAAAAUCCCAAAAAAUUUGGGAUUUUGAUCUCCUAAUUAUCUCUAUAAAUAGAGCUAACUCUAGCAAGAAAAAAAAAAAAAAAGAGAAAUAAAGGAGAAUAUUACCAAAAAAAAACACAAACAAAUAGUAGUUUUUUUUUGUAGCUAUGGGGUUACAGCCAUUCAAAAAAAAAAAAACACAUAAGCACAAAAUAAAUGCCACAAUUUUUCUAGUGGAUGAACCAUUGGCAUUAAAAAAAUUUUAGAACAAAAAAAGAUGAGAACACAUUCUUUGAUCUAAGGGUUUGGGAAUUUUUUUUUUUAAGAAAAUAGUUUGGGAAAAGUGCUUAGGAGACAAAAAAGGCUUAACUUCAUAUUUUUUUUAGAAUUUUUGAAAAUUUUUUUGGCUCACCAGACUCUAGAAAACGUUUGAAUUUUUCGACGAUAGAUGAAUUUUUUGGUGGCUAUUUGAAUUUUUCGAUCACCAAAUUCUAGGAAAUGGGAUGAAAUCUGGAAUUUAUUUUAACUUUUCUUCAACCAUGACAUGACGACAACCAAUUGAAAUUUGGGAAAUAAUGGCGACCGAUGAAGGAGUUUAGUUUUAGAAAAAAAAAAAGGCUCUAAAUUUGUAGAGAUGGGGAAGAAAUGAAGAAAAAAAAAUAGAAAAAUGCCAUUUAUAGAACUGUUAAAAUAGUGUCGUUUCAAAUCCAAAACCCAUUGACCCAUUUGCUAACCUGCAUACUGACUCGACUCAUUUAGUGAAAUUUCAUUUUUUCCAUUUUAUUUUCAUUUUUGAUUUCAUUUUGAUUUGAUUUGAUUUUUGUUUUAUUUUUGUUAGAUUUUUUAAAAUAUAUAUUUAUUUAAACAAAAUAAUAAUAAUAAUAAUAAUAAUAAAAUCAUUACAAGUGAUAAUUUUAAUAUAAAAUUAACAAUAAAUAACAGCUUUUAAUUUAAAGUAAAUCUUAAAAAACAAAAAAAAUUAUUAUUAAGGCAAAUGGAAAGAGUUCUAUUUCCCUUUGAUUUUUACAAAUGAAAAUAUAUAAAAAUAUAUUUUUGGAAUUUCGCUAAACUAUUAGAAGGAUUCAAGAAAUUACUUUUAUUAUAAAAAAUAUAAAAUAAUAAUAAUAAUUACUUAUUUGAAUAAAUUUGUUUGAAAAAAAUGCAAUCUUUAAAGAAAAUUGAAAGAGUUCAAUUUUUUUAAUGCAAGCAAAAAAAAUAUUUUUAGAUUUCAAUGAUGAGUUGGUAUAAUCUAAAAAUUAUUUUAAAAUAAAAAUUUGUUUAAAUAAUAAAAAAAACAAUGAAUAAUAAAAAUAAAUAAAAAUAAAAGGGUUUGUUUAAAAAAAUUUUUGGAUUUCACCAAAAAGUCAGUUAGUCUAAAAAGAUAUUGUCAAUAAAUAAAUAUUUAUUUAAAUAACAAAAAAAGUGUUUCUUUAAAUGAAUCUUGAUUAUUGCAAAAAAAAGUUGUUUUUGUUAAAAAAAGAUUUAAUAGUAAAUAAUAACAUAAAACAAAAAAAAAUCACAAUAAAACUUAAUUCAAUGUUUAAUUAAAUCUCUUAGAAAAGAAUUUUAAGUAAAAUUGGGAGAAUCUCAUUUUUCUUAAUUAUUAUCAAUAAAAAUGAUUUUUUAGGAUCUCGUCAAAAAGUUAGAAUGAUAUUAAAAUAUAUUUAAAAAUUUUAAUAAUUUCACCAAAGAGUAGAGAUAAUCCUAAAAUUAAUUUUAAUAAAUAAAUAAAAUAUCCUACGACAAAAUUUUGAGAAUUUUGUGAAUGAUUAAUUUUUUUAAAAUUUUUUUCUAAAUAAAUAUUUUCUAUAAAUUCCUCUUAAGCGUUGGAGAAUUUAUAAUAGACAAUAAUAAUAAUAAUAAUAAUAAUAUAAUUGCAUAACAAAAAAUGUUUUUUUUUCAUAAAUAAAUUAUAGGAAAUUAAAUUUAAAUAUAAAGAAGACCAUAUCAUCAAAAUUACAGGAUAACACAUGUUUAAUUGGUACCGUUCUUUGAACAGGUGAUGUGAGAGAGCUAAUACCUUCCUCACUUAUAGUUGUACUCCUAGAUCCAACCUUGAUUACGUAGACUUAAGCUUCUUUUAAUAAAUAUUGAUUAAUUUUAAGAUUUUUAUUAAAAAAUGAUGUUUUUGGCUGGCUAAUCACACUCUACAAAAAUGAUUGGUGGCGACUUCAUAAAUUUUUAUUAAGUUUAGCGAUGGAUUCCCCUUGAACAUAAAAUCAUUAUGACAGGGAUUAUGACCUUAAAUUUCCCUUUAUCCUACCUUGUCCCUAGCCUAACAUUAUAAGCUUUAUAAAAGGCCUAUUGAUCUUUAGUUAAGUGUGUAGAUCUACAUUAGUGGAGAGAGAUGAGAAAAGUGAACAUAUGAAAUCUAAUUACCCUUUGAGAUUCUAUGUUAAUUUCUUGAUUGCAUAACCUUAAUUGAAUGUCAUGCAUUGAUAUGAGAUAGACUAUUCAUGCAAACACAGAAAUUGCAAUUGAAAUGGGACUUGUUCUUGAAUGAUUGUUGUGUUUGAGCUAUGUUUAUGAUUUUCUCUAAGUUAUAUUCAUCAUGCAAUUUUUUAUGAACUUAUCAAAAUAUGAUUAUUGGAAGUUUAUAUGAUUGAUUCCAGCAUGUUUAUUGUCAUUUAGCUAAGUUGUUAUUGCUUGAGGAUAAGAAAAAGUUUAGGUUUAAGGUUUUGAUAACUCCAUAAAAUAUAAUUAUUUUUAGUACUUAAAUAUGUUAAUUUUGCUUAGCUCUUAGUGAAAUAGGGUUCUUUUUACUCCUACUGUGAUUAAUUUAUUGUUUUGUACAAAAUAUUAAAGAAAAGAUCAAAUCUUGGUAAAUCUUGAAAAAUCUUGAAAAUUUUUUAUCAGCCUUGGUAGGUUUUUGAUACCUUUGGAGUAAUCUUCAAUGGUUUUGAAAUGUUCUAGAUAAUUCUUGGAAUUCUUGAAAAAUCCUCGAGUGGAAAUGAUGAAAUUACUCAAUAUUUGUAUAGUUGUACCUUAAAGAUUAAGAAUGGUUGAAUCUUGAUGAAGAAUGAAUGAAAUUAAUGAAAAAUGGUGAAAGAGUGGUUCGGCUAUUAUAAAGCUUAGUUUUGUAAUUUCAAGUUGAAUGCAAGUCUAUGGUAGCUAAUGUAUAUGCAUAUGCAUCUGAUUACUAUGGAUUACAUAGAGCAAGUCUUUUCUCUUUUGCCAAAAAAGAUGAUUUGAAUACUGAUAUGACAUGAUGACUUGGCAAGGAAUAAAAAUUUGUCCAAUUUAGAAUAGUCCAAAUAGCCCUUUGUAUUCCUAAUUAAAAGAAAAAUUCCUAUUUUGAUUUGGUUUUCCUACUUUGACUAAGAAUUCAUACUUUAAUUUGUAUUCCUACCUAAGGUAAGAUUUGUAUGUAAUUUAAAGGGAGUUUAAAUAAACAGUAGCAUAAAAGAGGAUUUGGAGUCAAAAUUUUCUUUUUUCUAAGAAAACUUCUAUUUGAAGUCUAAUUCCAAGAAGUUUCUAUGAAAAGCCUAGUCUAACUUGAAAAUUUACAUUUUAGAAGGUUAGUUAGGGUUUCAAAAUAACUUAUAGCAAUUUUUCUCUUACAAAAACCCUAAACACCCAUCAUUCUUACAAUUUUAAAAGUUUGAAGUUCAAGAAUUAUUCAACAUUAAAGAUCUAAAAGGUUUUCGAGAAAAAGACCAACCAAGCCACACUUUUCUUCUUUAAAAGAGGGUUAGUUGCACAUUGCUCUUAACUUUUAAAAGCAAAGUCAGCAACAUACAUCAAAGUUAGCAAACAAAAUAUCCAAAUCAACACCUAAUCUAGUUAAGAUUCGAUUUAUAUUAUCCAUUUUAAGAGAAGGUAGCCUUAUCCAACAAAGAUUCACUUAAAAAAAGUUUUUUCAUUUAAGAUAACAAGCAAGACCAAACCAAACUUAUUCAAGAAAUCAAGUUUAAGUCUGCCAACCAUAAAUUUAGGCUUCCUUGUAAUCUAUUUUAUAAACAACUAACUCUAGAUUUAGGAGAAAGUAUGGUUAGGGUAACAGCCCAUUGUAAUGUAUUCUUUAGUCUUAUUCUUUCAAGUUUUCUUUAGUUUUCAAGUGCUUAAGUUUUUUUUAAAGUUGUUUUCAGUUUAAUUCAAGUUUCAAUUUAAUUUUUAAGUUAAUUUAAGUUUUUGCUUUUUUUUUUCAAGUUUUCUUAAAUUUUGUUGUUGUUUUCUUUUUCAUUUCUAAUUUGUGAUUAGCUUAGGUUACUUUGAUUCAUGCGAUUCACUUGCUACUUAAACUUUAUUUUUUUGUUACAUGCUUAAUUUUGCUAAGUUAAAUUCAAUUUACAUUCUAUUGAGUUAAUUUAAUUAGAUUUUAAUUUAAUUGGCUAUUCAUAAGUUUAACUCAUAUUAAUUUGAUUAGUUUGCAUGUUAUUAGGGCUAGUCUGUUUCUGUUUUGUUUAAGUUGAGAUUCUAAAGUUUAAUUUAGUUAAGUUUAAGUUUGAUUAUUAGUUCAUGCAUGAUUUUAGGGUUAAAUUGGUUCUUAUUAUUUGAGAUUUUAUGCUUAUGCUUUUGUUUAUGUCUUGCAUGUUAGUUUAGGUGAGUUCGCAUAACUAUUUAUUAAGUUUUAAGUUAAAUUUAGUUAAUAAGUUCUAUUUUGGUUUCACUAAUCAUUUUUUAAUGUUUACAUGUUCUCUUAAGUUGUUGCAUUAGUUUGAUCUUUAAUUUUGGUUCUUAAUUCAAUUAAAGCAUAUAUUAUUCAUCUUUAGAUUACUAAUUAGAUUUAGUUUGCAUUGUACAUUUUAAUUAGCUCUUGCAUAAUUUAAUUUUGUUGUUGCAUUUAAUUAGGUUUAGUUUUAUCUUGACUUGUUACUCUUGCAUGAUUAAUUGUUACUUUAAGGUUAUUUGCAUUACUUUAGUUAUGGUUUUGGUUAGUUUAAGUAUUUAUUUGCAUCUUAUUUGAUUGUUAUACUCGAUUAACUCAUUUUACAAUCCUCGUGGGAACUAUCUCUACUCACUGUAUGGUACUUGUUUCUAUCCUAUGCAGUUGUAGAUAUUCAAUCAAUGUUAUUGCCAAAGUCCAACCAUUUAUUACUAAGAAAGAGACCACAAUUCUAUUUGUUAACACUUUGAAAGCUCCUUACUAUGAAAGAAUAAAUAGGAACACAACUAAAAACUUUGUUGACAUUAUGAUUUUUUGAGAGAUAAUAGAAAAUGUCAUCAAGAGUAGCAAACUUGAAACAAGAGAUACAACCAACAUAAAGAAUGAUGGUGUACCCAAGGAAAAAAAGAAUGAAGCUCAAGUUGUAAUUUAUAAGGGGCAGCAGUUGAAAGGUUUCUCCUCAUAUCUUCACCCAAUGUAUAAAGCUUAUGUAGCAUUAUCUAUUACCCUUACUAGUCAAUACCACCACCCAUAAUUUAUCUAAUGUUUAACCUCAAUCACACAUUUACAUUGCUAGCCUUACCACCACAUCUGCUGUAAAACCAGUUGCUAAACCUAACAAUCCAACAAGUAGUUUGAAGGGACCAUAAAGCAAUCAAGAAAGAGCUUGCAUUGAUCCAAUUUUCAUGUCAUAUGUCAAACUAUUCCUAAAACUCAUUAAAAAUCAUUUGGUAGAAUAUGUUCAUUUGGAACCAUUAAAGUUGUCAUAUCUUAAGUGAUAUAUUACUAAUGCCACCUAUGAUUAUCACAAUGGAAACAUGGGGCAUCCUAAAAAGAGUUGCCAUGCUAUCGAACACAAGGUACAGUGAUUGAUCAAAGCAAGCUUGACGAGUUUUAAAAAACUAGAAGUCUCUAGUGUUACUAAAAACUCCAUAGCUUACAACAUAAAGGUAUAAUUCUAGGAAUGAUAAGAAAAUUGGAGUUGGAUGGAGCUAUUUGUCUUUUUAAAAUUUCUUUUAAAGUGAUGCUAUUUAUUUUAUGUAUUGUGAUUUCAUUUUUUUUAUCAUUUUAAUAAAAAUGGCAAGUAUGGUGCAUUGCUAUUAUAUUUCCUCUCUUUUAUUCUAAUCACUAUUCUUUGCAUUUAUAUACCUUAUGAUAGCUUUUCUUUUAACCAUUAUCAGAUUUUUAAGUAAUGAAUGUUCAGACAAUGAUAACAAUAAUUUGGGAUUCAAUUUUGAAAAUCCAUUAGUAGUUAUGAACUUAAUCUAUGUAGAUUAUGGAAGAAAAAGGGGACAAAUUAACAUCAAAAGGCAAAAAUUAAUAUAACAGUGUCAUAGGCAUAUGGUCCUUUAUCAACAAGUUUGUUCUUAUUUAAUGAAUGUUCUUCAAAAAAAGUAUUCACAUUUGAGAUAAUAAAUGAUCAUUUUUUUUUACCUUUCAUUCAUGAAUAAAAUUAUUCAUUUGCUAACUCUUUUGAGCUUAUUAUGAUUUUUGAAAAAAAUCUAUCAAGAAUUAUCCUCCACACUAGGGGGCAAAUUUUGAAAAAAUACUUAUUUGCAAAAAAGAAAGCAAGAGUUGCAAAAAAUCAAAGGGGUGAAGGAAAAUCCCCUUAGAAUUUUAAAUCUUUUUGAAAGAAAGAUGAAAAUUUGAAAAAAUAAAAAAAUUAAAAAAUGAAAAAAUGAAAAAUGAAAAAAUAAUGGGGUAAAAUGCUAAGGUACUUCACUUAAUAAGAAAUGAUCCUUUGAUCUAUAAUGCAUCAAACACAUUUUAAGCUUACUUUAUCCAUUUUUCAUAAUCCUUUACUUUAACCUAAGAUACAUACCUUAAAAAUUCAUUUUGAUCAAAUAGGAAUACUUGAAUUAAUGAAUUAUAUAUUGAAUUAAGGCAUACUUGUGAUAAACAAUGAGAUCAUGAUCUGUUCUCAUGUUUUGUGAUUGAUCCAAAAUUUGAUAGGGAUAUCAAUGAUGAAUGAAGUGAAAAAGGAAAUAAAUACAAAAAAUACAAAAAAAAAGAUAUAAAAAAAGGAAAUGUAAAAUAGAAAUAUUUAAAAUUGAAAACUCCAAAGUACAAUUUAAGGAAAGAAAAAAACUUAACUAAAAAGAUUGAAAGACGGCUUAGGAACAUGGAGAUCUAUGUCAUUUAAAGACUUCAUGUAAGGGGAGCAAAGUUCAAAUCGAUGAACCUAGAAUGAUCUAGAAUUUAAAAUUAUCUUAAUAUUCAUUAUUUGGAUGCUAUUAUCUCAUCCAUGCAUUUGUCCUAGUAAUUUGUCUAACUGUCAUAUAUCAGAUUUGGCUUAUUCCUUAUAUCCUUUUUCUCUAAUUCAUCGUGCUUUUCACCAAUUUUAAUUCUCACAAUGAAUAGAGAAAAUAUAUGAUUGUAUUACAUUUAUCGUGAAUUUGAAUGAUAAUGAAUAAAUGAAUUAACCUUGAAAGAACCCGUUUUAUUAUUAAUAGACUAAAAACUAACUGAAGUUUUACAUGCUGACUAUUAGUUUUUCUUGGAAGAUAAAGCAUAACAAUAUAUAUAAAUAUAUAUAUUCAACGGGAGGCUUACAGGAAGUGGUAAUGGUGUUAGUAAAUAAUCUUCCUAAACAGAUUCGCUGGGGAGAUAGCUACAAAGUAUUUUGAUAGGUUUGCGAGAACUUUGGAUGUGUUCAUUCCUUAGAAAAGAAACAAUGGGGGUAGGGUAGGAGAAUCGGUCUUGUACGAUAUGAAUCUAUGUUUGAAGCUAGAAGAGCAGUUUGGAGUCUUAAUGGGGUAUGGUUACUUUAUCAAAAGAUUGGAGUUAACAAAGCGAGAUUCAAUCCCAGAAAAGCAUAUUGGAGAAGAAGGAUUGCUAAUACGCAUAAAGAAAAAGGUGUACUGGAAACAAGUAGAACCGAUAAAGAGCUUAGAGAGGCUAAGAGUGAGAAGAAGGCUAAAGAGUCAAAGGGAAGGAAAACAUAUAUUCAAGUAUUAGCUAAAGGAAUCGGUAAUGGGGUGGAAAAUAAUUCAUGUGAGGUUGCAAAGAGAAAAUCAAAGGUUUUCGAGUGUAUUGAAAUGGUGGAUAAUGAGAAUCUGCAAUGGCUUCAAAGAAGCCUUGUACUUAUGUGUCAUGGAUUUUCAGAACCUAGUAUGAUUUCAGAACAAAUGAGGAGUAAUGGGGUAGGAGGUAUAUCGGUUAGCACAAUUUCAGGCAGAUUAUUUUUGUUAACUUUUAGCAACUAUGAAAUGUUGGAAGGCAUGAAAGAUGAAAAAUGGGGUUGGUUGAGUCAAUGGUUUGAGAAGGUGGAUUUCUGGUCUGAAGAAUUCUUGGUUACGAGCAGAAGGGCGUGGAUUGCAUGUUACGGAAUUCCAAUUCAAUCGUGGAAAGUGGAAAUCCUCUGCAAUAUUACAAAGGUUUGGGGUGAUUUCGUUUGCAUGGAUGGUGAUAUUAAUUCAAUGUCAAAGAUAAAUGAAGUGACUAAUCUAAACGUUUGCGGCAAGUUGUACCCGAUAACGCUUUCUGAAGUAGAACCUUAACUAGUGUCAUUGUUCCCUCAUUGUUAAAAAUAUCAAAACCAGGUGAUCAUGGAGCCAAGCGAUCAAAGUAAGAGGUAAGGAUUUUGGUUUGAUGACAACUCCGGCAGCAGCUCAAGUUCCAGUAAGGGUAAGGUCUGGGAAGUAGAGGAAGGCACUGAUUCUGUUUCUAGAUUUUUGUUCAAAUUUUGAAUUCCAAGGUUCCAAGCAUUGCUGAAAACGAUGGAACCACAGAGUUUAGGAGUUGUAAAAUUUCUAAAAAUUGUUGCGUGUAACUUGAUAGUUAUAUGAUCAAUUCCCAACAGAUAAAGCAGAAGCCUCCAGACCUUCAUUGCAAAGGCACAUCCCGCCUGGUCUCAUUGGAGUUGAUUUAUUUGUGUCAAUAAUGUUGUUUUUCUUUCGUGUUUUUGUCAAGUAUAGACAAUUUUUCAGGAACCCCCCAAAGUAAACGUGUCCUAGAGUUGUAAAGCUGAAUUAGAACAAUAAUAGAUCCAAAUGUUAGCUGCGAAAUACUUGCCAAGCACUGGAAUACUUACCCAAUGCUUAAUGUCUUCCCAUGUUCCCAUUGAUGCUUGCACAAUGUUUUUAAUCUCUAAGGAGAUGACUAACUGAUAUAGGAUGAACUUAUUCAUUUUGUGUUCUCUCUGUUAGACACAAAUGAAUUAGGAAUGCAGGAACUGAGUAUGGGAUUUACUUAUUCGGUAGUUAGACCUGAAGCUGCGGAAAAAAAUCAACUUUCUAUACUUAUUUCGCAAAGUUUCGUUUUAUUUCGCUGGUGUUACAGUUUCGUUGAAAGUUUUAUGUUAAUACAAUAUUUGUCUGUAUGCAGGUUAUUAAUAAUCUUGCAAUGUGCAGGGUAAAUUUAUUGUAAUUUAUUAAGGCCGGUAGCCGCUUAUAAAUUUAUUUACUCAGUUCUAAUUAAAAACUUCACAAAUUCCACCUUUUUAUUGAAUUAAAAAUCAAAAUCGAUAAAUUAAAAUAUCUCAUCACAUAGAUUAAGCAUAUAAAUUUUGAAAAUUUUUUAAUAAAUUUUAAUAUAUUUAUCGAAUAAACAUUUUUCAUAAAAAUAUUGAUAAAAUUUUUAUUGUUGAAUAUGUAUCGAUUAAAUUAGAAUUAUAAAUAAUAUUUUUAAUAAUUUUUUUUACAUAUUAUUGAUUUUCAUAUUAAAUUCUAUUAAUCUAUUGAUUUAGAUUUUUAUUAAAAUUUUUAUUUUCUCAUUUUUAAUAAAAAAUUUCACAAACUUUAAAACUUCAUAUGAUGGAUCAUGCAAUCCAAGGCAUAGUUGGUUUGCUAGUUAUAUGCAUGCCUUGCUUUAGGAGAUUUUUUUCAGACAUUGGAUCGGAGUGGUCAAAAUAUGAGCUCAUAUCCUGGUUUUUUGUUUUUUUACUAUUUUUUUAUUUUUGACUAAUUAGCUUUAAUACCCUAAGUCUAUCAUGACUAUUUAGAAGCUAUAUGCAUGGUUUAGGGACAUGUAAAUAGUUUUAUGAGAGGUACAAUUAGGGGCGAUAAUGACUUAAGUUGGAUUGACUUCAGUUUGGUUAUUUUGGUUAAUGCACAGUAUUAUAAAAUUUUAAAAUACGAUCUGAAUAUGAAUUAAUCACACUAAGAAACCGAUUGAGUCGAAUUGAAUUUUAUCGAUUUGAUUUGAUUCAUUAAUUUUUGAAAAUUAAUUUUUUUCUAUUUUUUUCAUAUUAUUUUUAAUAUAUUUAAAUAGAUUUAAAUAUAAAAUAAUUAUUUUAUUUUUUAAGAAUUUAAAAUUUAUAUAAAACUAAUAAAAUUAUUGUUUUGUUCAGUUCAUAUAUAUUUGAUUUUUAUUUCAUGAUCUAAAAACUAAUUCAAAUUGAAUUGAAAUAUUUAAUAUAUGGUCUGAGUCUAACCGAAUAGUAAAAAAUCUAUUUCGAAUAAAGCCGAAUACUACAAUUUCGAAU
This 31889-nucleotide long non-coding RNA is filed under the name Durio zibethinus. Its description in RNAcentral is "long non-coding RNA (DZIB_LNC000811)". The record is from RNAcentral. Lineage: Eukaryota; Viridiplantae; Streptophyta; Magnoliopsida; Malvales; Malvaceae.